CCGGGCCUAAGUUCCCUGGA
RNAcentral lists this small nuclear RNA (20 nucleotides) under Arabidopsis thaliana (thale cress). RNAcentral's name for it is "snRNA_01972". Lineage: Eukaryota; Viridiplantae; Streptophyta; Magnoliopsida; Brassicales; Brassicaceae. The record is from RNAcentral.